This 703-nucleotide ribosomal RNA is filed under the name uncultured bacterium. Its description in RNAcentral is "bacterial SSU rRNA". It matches the Rfam family "Bacterial small subunit ribosomal RNA", at positions 796 to 1501 of the family's 1533-position model. The record is from RNAcentral.
CACGCUGUAAACGAUGUCGAUUUGGGGGUUGAGCUUUAAGCUUGGCGCCCGUAGCUAACGUGAUAAAUCGACCGCCUGGGGAGUACGGCCGCAAGGUUAAAACUCAAAUGAAUUGACGGGGGCCCGCACAAGCGGUGGAGCAUGUGGUUUAAUUCGAUGCAACGCGAAGAACCUUACCUACUCUUGACAUCCAGAGAACUUUCCAGAGAUGGAUUGGUGCCUUCGGGAACUCUGAGACAGGUGCUGCAUGGCUGUCGUCAGCUCGUGUUGUGAAAUGUUGGGUUAAGUCCCGCAACGAGCGCAACCCUUAUCCUUUGUUGCCAGCGGUUCGGCCGGGAACUCAAAGGAGACUGCCAGUGAUAAACUGGAGGAAGGUGGGGAUGACGUCAAGUCAUCAUGGCCCUUACGAGUAGGGCUACACACGUGCUACAAUGGCGCAUACAAAGAGAAGCGACCUCGCGAGAGCAAGCGGACCUCAUAAAGUGCGUCGUAGUCCGGAUUGGAGUCUGCAACUCGACUCCAUGAAGUCGGAAUCGCUAGUAAUCGUAGAUCAGAAUGCUACGGUGAAUACGUUCCCGGGCCUUGUACACACCGCCCGUCACACCAUGGGAGUGGGUUUUACCAGAAGUAGGUAGCUUAACCGCAAGGGGGGCGCUUACCACGGUAGGAUUCGUGACUGGGGUGAAGUCGUAACAAGGUAACC